UCUCUUCCAGAAUUAUAUUGGAGGUAGUAUCUGCCCAAUGAGUAAUUUAAUGGCCGCGGUAUUUUGACCGUGCAAAGGUAGCAUAAUCAUUUGUCUUUUAAUUGGAGACUAGAAUGAAUGAUUUGACGAAACAAAAGCUGUCUUAAUUUUAUUAAUUGAAUUUAAUUUUUGAGUUAAAAAGCUUAAAUAAUAAUAGAGGACGAGAAGACCCUAUAGAGUUUAAUAAUUUUAUUGAAAGAUAAGUUGUUGGAAUUUUUAUUUUGCUUUUAGUGUGAUUAUUUAAUUGGGGUGAUAUUAAAAUAUAAAAAACUUUUAAUUGAUGUUUAACUUGAAUAUUGAAGGAAAGGAUGAAUGAUCUUGUAGUAUGGAUAAAAAGAGAAAUUACCUUAGGGAUAACAGCGUUAUUUUAUUUGAGAGUUCAUAUUGAAAAUAAAGUUUGCGACCUCGAUGUUGGAUUAAGAAUAUGUACUGGUGCAGUAGUUGGUAAUAUAGGUCUGUUCGACCUUUAAAUUCUUACAC
This 519-nucleotide ribosomal RNA is filed under the name Malgasia pauliani. Its description in RNAcentral is "partial 16S ribosomal RNA". It matches the Rfam family "Bacterial large subunit ribosomal RNA", at positions 1830 to 2601 of the family's 2925-position model. Lineage: Eukaryota; Metazoa; Arthropoda; Insecta; Orthoptera; Gryllidae. The record is from RNAcentral.